UCCCUGGUGACUUAGAGGGUAAAGCAUCUGCCUGCGAUGCAGGAGACCCGGGUUCGAUCCCUGGUUCAGGAA
This 72-nucleotide transfer RNA is filed under the name Ovis aries (sheep). It matches the Rfam family "tRNA". From Rfam's summary of the family: Transfer RNA (tRNA) molecules are approximately 80 nucleotides in length. The record is from Rfam by way of RNAcentral. Lineage: Eukaryota; Metazoa; Chordata; Mammalia; Artiodactyla; Bovidae.